This 406-nucleotide ribosomal RNA is filed under the name uncultured bacterium. RNAcentral's name for it is "partial 16S ribosomal RNA". It matches the Rfam family "Bacterial small subunit ribosomal RNA", at positions 30 to 526 of the family's 1533-position model. The record is from RNAcentral.
AUUGAACGCUGGCGGCAGGCCUAACACAUGCAAGUCGAACGAGUGGCGGACGGGUGAGUAAUGUCUGGGAAACUGCCCGAUGGAGGGGGAUCACUACUGGAAACGGUAGCUAAUACCGCAUACCAUCGGAUGUGCCCAGAUGGGAUUAGCUAGUAGGUGGGGUAAAGGCUCACCUAGGCGACGAUCCCUAGCUGGUCUGAGAGGAUGACCAGCCACACUGGAACUGAGACACGGUCCAGACUCCUACGGGAGGCAGCAGUGGGGAAUAUUGGACAAUGGGCGAAAGCCUGAUGCAGCCAUGCCGCGUGUAUGAAGAAGGCCUUCGGGUUGUAAAGUACUUUCAGCGGGGAGGCGUUACCCGCAGAAGAAGCACCGGCUAACUCCGUGCCAGCAGCCGCGGUAAUAC